UGAACGCUGGCGGCAGGCCUAACACAUGCAAGUCGAGCGGUAGCACAGAGAGCUUGCUCUCGGGUGACGAGCGGCGGACGGGUGAGUAAUGUCUGGGAAACUGCCUGAUGGAGGGGGAUAACUACUGGAAACGGUAGCUAAUACCGCAUAAUGUCGCAAGACCAAAGUGGGGGACCUUCGGGCCUCAUGCCAUCAGAUGUGCCCAGAUGGGAUUAGCUAGUAGGUGGGGUAACGGCUCACCUAGGCGACGAUCCCUAGCUGGUCUGAGAGGAUGACCAGCCACACUGGAACUGAGACACGGUCCAGACUCCUACGGGAGGCAGCAGUGGGGAAUAUUGCACAAUGGGCGCAAGCCUGAUGCAGCCAUGCCGCGUGUGUGAAGAAGGCCUUCGGGUUGUAAAGCACUUUCAGCGGGGAGGAAGGCGUUAAGGUUAAUAACCUUGUCGAUUGACGUUACCCGCAGAAGAAGCACCGGCUAACUCCGUGCCAGCAGCCGCGGUAAUACGGAGGGUGCAAGCGUUAAUCGGAAUUACUGGGCGUAAAGCGCACGCAGGCGGUCUGUCAAGUCGGAUGUGAAAUCCCCGGGCUCAACCUGGGAACUGCAUUCGAAACUGGCAGGCUAGAGUCUUGUAGAGGGGGGUAGAAUUCCAGGUGUAGCGGUGAAAUGCGUAGAGAUCUGGAGGAAUACCGGUGGCGAAGGCGGCCCCCUGGACAAAGACUGACGCUCAGGUGCGAAAGCGUGGGGAGCAAACAGGAUUAGAUACCCUGGUAGUCCACGCCGUAAACGAUGUCGAUUUGGAGGUUGUGCCCUUGAGGCGUGGCUUCCGGAGCUAACGCGUUAAAUCGACCGCCUGGGGAGUACGGCCGCAAGGUUAAAACUCAAAUGAAUUGACGGGGGCCCGCACAAGCGGUGGAGCAUGUGGUUUAAUUCGAUGCAACGCGAAGAACCUUACCUGGUCUUGACAUCCACAGAACUUAGCAGAGAUGCUUUGGUGCCUUCGGGAACUGUGAGACAGGUGCUGCAUGGCUGUCGUCAGCUCGUGUUGUGAAAUGUUGGGUUAAGUCCCGCAACGAGCGCAACCCUUAUCCUUUGUUGCCAGCGGUCCGGCCGGGAACUCAAAGGAGACUGCCAGUGAUAAACUGGAGGAAGGUGGGGAUGACGUCAAGUCAUCAUGGCCCUUACGACCAGGGCUACACACGUGCUACAAUGGCAUAUACAAAGAGAAGCGACCUCGCGAGAGCAAGCGGACCUCAUAAAGUAUGUCGUAGUCCGGAUUGGAGUCUGCAACUCGACUCCAUGAAGUCGGAAUCGCUAGUAAUCGUAGAUCAGAAUGCUACGGUGAAUACGUUCCCGGGCCUUGUACACACCGCCCGUCACACCAUGGGAGUGGGUUGCAAAAGAAGUAGGUAGCUUAACCUUCGGGAGGGCGCUUA
This 1434-nucleotide ribosomal RNA is filed under the name Klebsiella pneumoniae. RNAcentral's name for it is "16S ribosomal RNA". It matches the Rfam family "Bacterial small subunit ribosomal RNA". Lineage: Bacteria; Pseudomonadati; Pseudomonadota; Gammaproteobacteria; Enterobacterales; Enterobacteriaceae. The record is from RNAcentral.